This is a non-coding RNA of Xyrichtys novacula (pearly razorfish), 7957 nucleotides long. The record is from the annotation of a GenBank genome assembly. Lineage: Eukaryota; Metazoa; Chordata; Actinopteri; Labriformes; Labridae.
GGGGGAUGGGGGCAGAAGGAGAACAAUAGAGGAGCAGGAGGAAAUGUUUUAGGAGAGAUUUGGCCGGUUCCAGGGAAGCCGGGCCUCUGAUCCCAAGAGAGGAAACCCAGGAAGCACCUCGAACUGCAGGUAAUCCUCAACGGAGAGCAGUGGAACUGUGAGAACUGGACUCAGAGGGACCAUCCCAAAGACCAGUGAGUCUCUGACUUUGCUGAAAUUUCCCUCUUUGGUUUGACUGGAUUUUAUUUCGUCUUAUUUGAUUAUUUCAUCCAUUUUAGUCUCUUACCCGGAACACUGUUGUCACUUCAUAUGUAUUUAUUGUGCUGUUUGUUGGUCUGCUGUCGUACACCUGAUUCACUGCAAACAAAAUUUACCUGAGGGUACAAAUAAAGUAACCUUUGACCUUUGAACUUUUUGAUGGAUUGUUCUGUUUUGGGGAUUGUGGAGCUUUGAGUAAAAAACACUCGACUUGACCCGAAAAACUCUCAAAAUUUACUGUGUGAUUCCAUGACUCCACCCCAUGAAUAAGUGUCCUCUUUUUGGGAAUUCAGAUUACGGUCACCCUAGGAUUUGGUCCGUUUUAUUUUAUAAGCGUUUUAUUUUAUAUUUUCUUUGACUUCACCUGGAGAAGUUUUUUCUGGAACUUUAGAAAAGCUAGGACGGUCCGGGUUUGGUUAAAAACUGUGGCUCCUUGUUUCCUGCUCUAUACAGUAAACUGUGGUCAAUAUUAUUAAGUUUGUUUUUCACAAAAUUGAAACAGGAGUUCCCCAAGGAGCCGUCCCGGGCCCCUUCUUUUUCAGCCGUAUAAUUUAACAAAUCACCAGGAUAAACCUAAUCAUAGGUCUUAAGAUGUAUGAAGGCGACACAAUUGUGUAUGUAUGAGGUAAAAUCUGUGGUGCUGUUCCAGGACAGCUAACUUUAAAUAUAUAUAUAUAUAUAUGUAAAAAAUGCAAUCUUAACUCAAUGCCUGUUGUUUGACAUGAAACGAUAAGAAAACUGAGUCAGUCUGUUUUUAUCUGGAAAUCUAUCUGCAUCAGAAUGACUGAAGAUCAGAAUUUGACUUUUUAACAGGGAGUCUGCCUCCAGUGGACACUCUUGGAACUGCAGUUUUUGUGCUCAUGUUUAAGAUCGUAGGUGGCCUCUUGAUUGUCAAACUCCUUUGACCCUUUUUGAUCAGAGAAACUGAUAAAAACAGCCGUAGUGGUGCUAUAAUCUUCAUACACCGACUCCUCUCCACAUUCGAAGGCCUGUAGGAGAUUCACUGAGCAGCACCUUGGUUACGUUUCUGCUACAUUUAGCUCCAGAUUAAUGUGGACGAGACAUCAGCAGGUCUGGUUGGAUGGGGGUCCUCAGUGGCUACCCAUAAGCCCCUGGGACUGCACAGUAAAUCAAACAAGAAAUGCAGCGGAAAGCCUAAUAAAGUUCUUCUAAUGAUUGUAAUCUCUGAGGAAGCACCUUCAACGUAAACCAAACUUCCCUCUCCCUCGCUCUCGUCCUCUGAGCUGCUGGGAGAAAUCACUAAAUUUUCCCCUGAAUAAGAGCACCUCGUCUCCAGACCUCCGAACGUGCAGAAGCGGAAACAGAAGGUCUGAGGUGUGGAAAUUAAUAACAUUAAUCACUGAGCUGCUUUCCAGCCUCCUCUUGCCUGCUCUUUGCCUUCUGGUUUCAAGAAGACGAGAUUAAACAUGAACCAACUCAGAGGGGACCGAAACCGUCCUUCUGAUCACAUUAAUUCAGCAACAUCUCGCUCACAUGAAUAUGCAUACUGAUUUCUGAUAAAUCUGGCACAUACCCCGUCUUAUUCUGAUUAUUAGCACGUUCGAACUCUUGGUAUGAAGGCCAACAUUCAGUCAUGUGAGUCCUGGACCUGGUCUCUCCAGAUAUCACCUUUGUUUAAGGGCCAUCGGGCCGGUUUCCAGCAUUGUAAACGGUGAUGUAUUACAUUCCAGCUCUGUUUGUAUGUCUCGGGCCGACACCUCCGGCUCUCUUUUAUUCUCUCUUAGUCAUAACAGCUUUUGUUUGAAGUGCGGAGGCAGACACAACAUCUCAGCCGUGGCUCCACAGCGUUCAGACCUUCCACCUCUGUUUACAGCUCGAGCCUCUCAGGCAUAAUGUUGUGAAACGGACAGAUGGAUCUACCGAGCUCCAGAAGAAUCCUGUUAUCUACAAAGUUUGUGCCAAAGCCUUCGGUUCAUUCUCACUGCUGUGGAGUAGAUAUCCUUAUCAACAUUUAUCCUUCCUCCAAAAAAGACCGAUCAUACUCUUUCUGGGACACCUACAGAGAAGCUUCGUAUCAUUUAAGGUUGAAAAACGUCCUUAUUCUUCUUUUUCUGGCCUCAGUGGAAACUCUCAGUUCAGCAGUAGGAGCCUUAAAUGCUUUACUUUUUUCCCUUUCACUGAUUUUAAUCAAAACGGAGCUGCUGGGUGUUACUUUUUACACAGCUCAUGAACAAACCUAAAAGCUACGUCUUUACGGAAACAUCCGAGUCCUGCUGAGAGCACCUCAGCUCCAGAUUCAGCCAUAUAAGUGUAUGAAACUCAAAUCUUGGCCAGUGUUUUUGUCUUUUCAAACUUCUUUUAAGCAAAGUUUUAAAAACAGCAGAGUCGCUCGUAGAAUUUCAAGGAACCGAAGUUCUAUCAAAAGGAACUAGAGAAGUUGUUUUUCUUUUUGAAGGUGUUAUAUAUUUUUGUGAUAUCUUAAAUUUAGACAUUUUCACGGCUUAUGUCUUUGAGUAGACCUUAUGAGACAUUUUUCGCUUUAAAUAAUACAAAAGAUUGAUAUUGACAUGCUAACGUUUCAGUUUAUAGCUUUGGUUACACUAGCAGCUGUUAUGAUGUUACUCACAGCUCGUGAAAGGCCUUUAUCGAUGCGGCGGCUCCAAGCUGAGAUGCAAAUCCAGUUCCUGUUGGUUCAUAAGCAAAUUAUCAUUGAAGGGGUGAGCAUCAACGGUUUCUAUCUAGCUGAAAAAAAUAAAACUAAACCAACCUACUAAAUAGAUUUAAGUCCUGGGAAAAGUCGUGGUUAGGAUUAAAAAUAUGUUUCGACUAACUUCAGCAUUGAAAUUUGGUUUAAUUAGAUUGACCAAAUUCUGAAUCCCCAAAAAGAGGACACUUCUACACAGGGCGGAGUCACAGAAUCGGAUGUAGUAAAUUUUGAGAGUUUUUCGGGUCAGGUAAAGUGUUUUUUACACGCUUCUUACUCAGUUUGUCAACACGACAGAAACUUAAAACUUUCAUACAGAACCCAUUUGAAGGAUUUUAUAAACGACGCUGGACAGUCACCAAAAAAGAAAAAAGUGGACAUAUGGUCACUCUAGGUUAAUAGUCACCAGUGUUUUGGUUAAGUGACUUAAGAUGUAAUGUUCCUUUUUAUUUUAUAUUGUCUGUAAGCAGAAACCUCCAGGUUCAACAAAAUGAAGCUGAUGUAGAAAUCCUAAAAACUGCAGUUCCUUAAGCGUCCACUUGGGGCUGGCUGCAGAAGCACCAAGAACGACAUACACACUCAUUCAAAAAAACAUCUUUACGACAACAACAACAACAAAAUGUUUACAGCCUCAGUGAAGUUUGACCAAAAGUUAGAUUGAGUCAGCAUGGCGUUGCAGUAUUCUAUGUCCAUGUUUUGUACAUUUUUUAUUGGGUAUCUAUUUUGGAAAAGUAAAUAAGUUAAUAUAAAUUUUAUGUCUCAUGCAUCCAUUUCCUGUAAAGUGAUACGACUGACACUUAUUGGACACAAGAAAACUACUAAUACAUGUACAGAACAAAAUAAUCGACCAACACAAAGUGGAAGUUUCCUCAUAGCAUCAGUUUUUUUUUACAUGUUUCUGCAACAUUAACAUGCAAAACACUUUAAAACGACUCUAACAUUAUUCUAACACGAUGCCUGAUUUUCAAAUCCGUGGAAAUAAAAAGUGAAAGAAGUCCAGAGUGAGUUAAAAACUGAUAAAUGUUGGUUUUUGCAUCCUUGUGUGUCUCUUGCUGAGAAAUAAAACAUACUGUUGAGCCCGCUGAGAGGGAGAGAGAAAAUCAACUCAUCUCUAUUUAUUGAGUCUGCGGCCUGUUGUUCAUUUUCGAGGAAUUUAGCUGAAGUGGCCUCUUGUUAUUUGAAGUACUAAUUGAACCCAUUUUCCUUUUCCAAACCUGUCUUACCACUUUCAUUUUAAAGCAAUAACUCAUCGAUGAACAACACCACUCAGCGGACGCCACUUGUCACGAUGGUUCCACUUAUGCAUUGACCAAAACAGACUCAACAGUGAAAGUUGCAUCACACAUUUUUCAGGCCGCUGCCUCGUCCAAGUGCCUCGCCACUUAUCAGUCUCGAUUGUGUUUAAUAUAUUCCGUUUUUAUGCUGUUUUUCAAAAGCACAGAGCUGAAAGCAUCUCAGCGGGUAAACCGGUGGAUUUAAGGUGUGUGCGUUUUUCGCAAACUUCUGCUGCUUUUUUUUUCGACUCUCGCACAAACCUGUCCUCUGAGGUUUGCGCGCCGAGUCCCUUCCAAUAAAACUCCCAAACAAGAAGGCGAAAAAUCCUAUUCAGUCUUUGUCUUUGAUAUUCCUAAAUGUCCUUAAACCGAGAAGAACCUUUGCAAUAUUUGAACCUUAUUGAACUUAAUUCUUCGGCUUAAAGUAAAGCGCUCUUGCAUCUGUGUCAGUGUUUGUAGAUGUGAGUUGUGAUCUUCCAAUCAUGGGGAUGCUGAUCCAGGAGAAGUUGACACGUCCUGGUCGCCAAUCUGCACGGGGAGCUGAGGUGUGGAUAUUUCAUUCAGGCACUUCUUUCCUCUGAUCAUAAUUGCACAGCGACAGAUGGGCAAUGGUGGAGCGCGCAAGUAUACAGCGUGCAUAGAAAUGUGCUCAUAGCUCAGAAGAGAAACAGCUUUAAAGCAGUCAGGUGUGGGGUUUUAUUUUGACACCUUGCCUGCCUGCGAAACACCUACUUUCUUCUCUGGCGGGACAGAGUUGCAUAAAAAAUGGUCAUAAGUUCUUGGUGAGAUGCAACUUUCAGCCAUGAAUGGUUGUAAAUCUUCUUUUGUUACAGGUGAAUGAUGGAAAUUGUGGCCGUUUUUGAAUCAGAGAGCUUCUUCGCGGAGAUAAUGGAGCAGUCUCGAGGCCUCUUGCCACCUCGACAAGUAAGCAUCAAGAGAAAAAAGGAGAACGGAGAAGAAGCAGUUAAAUUGCUUUAACAGCUGUGCGGGGUAUGAAUAACUCGUUAGCCGUGUGCAUUUUAAGUCAUCAAAUCCUGAGACCCCCACCACCACCACCACCCUCCUCCUCCUCCUCCUUCUCCUCCUCGCAAACACACACCUACCCCUCAUUUGCAAAGGGGGACAGGAGGGAGGUGCUAAUUAAAGUGAUAAAGAGAACAAAUCUUAUCAAAUCCUGAGCUGGAGGAGUUUUUUUCUUUUUUACGGGGCGGGGUGGUGGAGGUGUUGGUGUCUAAGGAGGAAAAAAAUCCAGGGUUACAUCUGUAUUCUCAAACACUCGGGGAAGGUGUUAUUUCAUGUUUAAUUAAUUAAGCAGUCUCUUUAACUGUAUCUUGACAAAUGUGAUGCCAAUUAGAUAGUGAAGAGAAAUUGUUUAUUGCUAAUUAAUGGCUGAUUUCAGGGGAAAAGAAGUUUAAUCCUCUGAUACCUCACCUUUUUUAUUGCAGAGCAGGAAUAAGCCUCCACCUCUGACUCUGACUCUGCGGCUCCGCCCGUCCUUACAUGAACCGACAAGAUCAGCUGGAAGUUAGGAAAAAAUAAACUUUUAAAAACAACAACCAACAAAAUAAAAACAGAGUUUGAAGAGAGGUGAGAUAAUCUACUCCUUUAUUAGUCCCACAAGGGGAAAUUCCCAGAGGCCCAAGUUUUGGCACUUCGAGUUGAUCAACAUCAGAUCGGUAUCAGUAACAAGAACGAUCUGAAAGUGUGAACAUUCGGUUGGUUAGUCGAGAAACAGGUUUUAAUGUUGUUUUUGGAUUUACAAUAAAAGUCUGAGUCUUCUUUAGCUUUAAAAAUGAUGAGUCAUCCCUUACGGGGUGUUCACACCAAGUGCGAGUAAAAACACGUAUUCAUGCAAAUCUAGACGCAUGAAUGAAAAGUAUUUAUAACGUAACUAUUUUACUUUUUUAUAUUUAUUUAUCUUAUCUUAUUGCUAUAUUCUAGUUGUGUGCUUUAUAGAAAGUGUCUUUGAGUACCUUGAAAAGCGCUAUACACUUCAUUCACGUGUCAAAGCGGUUUAUGCUAAUUUCAACGGUAAUCCCUGCCAAUCCAAGUGAAAGACAAAGGUUAUUUACAAUUUAGCAGGUAAUCUGUCCUCCUCACUCACUCACCUCCAGGCAAGCUCCUUUUUAUUUCCAUUUCAAUAAUUGAAAGAGAAGGUAUCACAUAAUUCGGGGCACCAACACAUCGACACGAUCAGUUUGUCCUCCAUUUUAGGACGACAACCGUCUGUUGUUACAUCACCCGCCAACCUUCAUGCUGAUUGGUUUUUGCGACGUGAAUAUCCGCUCAAGUUGAGACAUUUUCAGCUCCUGCUCAAUUCGCGUCAUUCGCGUCUUUGUAUUGACUUAACAUGUAAUUCAUUCGCGUGAACGAUUCUACUCGCGCUCGGUGUGUGGAGACAGUUAGAGCUUCUACAGCUAGCUUGCUGGCAGUCUGCCUCUUCUUCUCCAACUCUCCCCUGUUAAAGUUCCUCCCGAUAACUCUUGGUACGACUUUGUGAUCACUCUGAGCUCAAUAUCACUUGGUUAGAAGACAGUUACCAUCAGUACCAAUUCACUGCUACAGCCCUGAAAUGGAAGAAUGCAGCUAAUUAAAACAUAUAUCAGACGUAUCUAAAGCCUGAACCGUGAAUUUGUCUGUUUUUGUUUCGUUUGUUUGUUUGUUUUCAUUUUAAUGACGAAGAAAACACGUUCGUCACUUUUUUAUCGAAGCCUCAGUGUGAUUUUCUUUUUGUUAUUUAGUUUGUUUUUACUAAUUAAAGAUGACUCCACAGAUCCCCAAAAGUCCUGAUGGUAUUUUACUAAGUCGAACUUUAGAAUGAAUGUUUCUGUCCACAUUAAUUCAAUAAAACGUCCCCUCAGGUUCAGCGAUAUUGUUCUUCAUUUGUUAGUAAAUAGUGAAUUUUAUCAAACGCAAACAACACCAAGGUGAUGUCAGCAAUAUGUUUUUCCAUUGGCUGUCCUGACCUCUGACCUUUGGGGUCAGUAUAUCAGCUGUUCAAACUAAAUAAACGAAGACGAGUUGAUGAAGUGAGUUAUCAGCACUAUGAAGUCAUCAUGUUUAUUAUUAUUUAUAAAUUUUCUCAAAAAUAAAUCUAAACUUUUUCCAAUAUUUUAACAAAUUCUUCCAAACUCCAUAUUUAUUUUUAAUAUUUCAACUUUUUUUCCCCUUUUUUACUGAAAAAGAAAAUUAAUAGGGACAAUUCAUGGAGAAAAAAACAGAAACUCCACCCAAUAAAAAAGCAAAAAUUAAGAUAAAACAUCUUUGAGGAUAAAAGCGUUGAGUUCAGUCAGAUUAAGUCCAGACAGAGAGAGGUCCUCACUCCUCACUCAGGUUGAUUCGGGCCACAGGUGUGUUUGCAGAAGCACCCCAAGUGGCCAAAGAGGGUACUGCAAGUCAUCAAAAGGAAAGGCAGGUCAGGCAGAUGAGCUGUGUCGCCAUGUGGGAAUUUCUCUGUUUUCAUCCAAAUAAACUAGAAAAAAUCGAUGAAGCUGAAACAAGCUCCUCAUGUCCAUGUUUGAAAUCUAAAAGUCAUAAAAUAAUGAGUCUAACUUCUUUUACAGAUGAGAAAAUAACCAGCAGGACUCGGUGCAGCUACGUCUCUGACUUUAUUGUUUUUAUUAAAUGCUGCAACAUGUGAGGCUUUAUUUGUGUGAAAUCUUGAACCAUGCUGAUCUAUUAUCUAAUAUCACUUCUUGUUUUGAUCUUUUAAGAGUUUUUUUAUUUUUUUAUCUGAGUCCAUGCUGUUAUAAAUGUGACA